This 77-nucleotide transfer RNA is filed under the name Mycoplasmataceae bacterium. RNAcentral describes it as "tRNA-Ile". It matches the Rfam family "tRNA". Rfam says of the family: Transfer RNA (tRNA) molecules are approximately 80 nucleotides in length. Lineage: Bacteria; Bacillati; Mycoplasmatota; Mollicutes; Mycoplasmatales; Mycoplasmataceae. The record is from RNAcentral.
GGGAGUAUAGCUCAGCUGGUUAGAGCACACCCCUGAUAAGGGUGAGGUCGAUGGUUCGAAUCCAUUUACUCCCACCA